RNA transcript from Rosa rugosa (rugosa rose), 1040 nucleotides. It is a transcript of the gene named putative DUF21 domain-containing protein At1g03270, with no coding region annotated. The record is from RefSeq and is a predicted model, not a curated record. Lineage: Eukaryota; Viridiplantae; Streptophyta; Magnoliopsida; Rosales; Rosaceae. The transcript has 7 exons.
UGUAAAUUUAGGAUUUCGGAUUUGGAAAGUGCUUAUCUGAAUUCAUAUUGGAUUUUAUUUUAAUUUUUAUUUUUCAGGCCUUUCGUUUAUACCUUGAUGAAAUCUUUCACCCUGUUGUUGCCGUUUUUCUGUCUGUAACAUUUGUUCUAAUCUUCAGAGAGGUAUGUUGCCUACUCGUAAGCUCAUUGAAAUGCAAUGGGAUGUUGGGAUUGCGAUUGACUUGUGACUUGCCAUUCACAAGCUAUAUGCUCAAGAUAUGUAUGGGCUUUCUGUUGGCUUUGUUCGCAUUCUGAUGAUCAUCUGCUAUCCAAUCGCCUACCCAAUUGGAAAAGUUCUUGAUCUUGUACUUGGACAUGGAGAUGAUUUGUUCAGGCGAGCACAGUCGAAAGCCCUCGUCUCUAUUCACGACCCUGAGGUUGGAAAGGGAGUUGAACUAACACAUGAUAAGGCAAUGAUUAUCAAUGGAGUGCUAGAUUUAACUGUAAAGACUGUCGAGGAGGCUAUGACACCUAUUGAAUCAAGAAUGUGCUUGGAUGUUGAUUCAAAGUUAGACUGGGAAGCAAUUGGGAAAAUUCUUGCAUGUGUUAGAAUGUGUUGCUGAGCUUGUAGGAAAGGGUGCUUUAGCUGAAGGAGACAAGAUCACCUUAGAAACUGCAAAGCUGUUGAGAGAGAAUUCUCUCGCGCAGGAUGCAUUUACUCCGUCUAAAAAUUUGAGGAACCUGCUGAAGGCGAACAAGCUCUUGUGGCAAAAUUUAAGAGGCUACACGAUUACUUGACGAUUUGAGGAUGUAACUCGAUGAUUGGACUUAGACAUUUUCUAGAUGGUUCUAGUUGCUGUUAUAAAUUGCAUGGUGAUGACAGUUGGAGUUACUGUGGUUUUUGUUGUGCAUGAAAGAAGGCAGCGUUAGGUUUUUGUGACGCCAUUUUUGCUUUACUUUUGUGGCGGUUGCUCUAGUUUGGAUGUGUAGUUACAAUGAUUGUAUUCAUGUCACUCCCUUCAGGUUUUUACCCAGAAUAAGAGACUAGAUGUAUUUAAGCAA